AGGGGUAGAGCCCAGUGGUAGAGCACAUGCUUAGCAUUCGGGAGGUCCUGGGUUCAAUCCCCAGUACCUCCA
Molecule: transfer RNA, 72 nt
Filed under: Camelus bactrianus (Bactrian camel)
Lineage: Eukaryota; Metazoa; Chordata; Mammalia; Artiodactyla; Camelidae
Also listed under: 2 other names
Rfam family: tRNA
About the family: Transfer RNA (tRNA) molecules are approximately 80 nucleotides in length.
Source: Rfam by way of RNAcentral